Molecule: ribosomal RNA, 1300 nt
Filed under: metagenome
Description: bacterial LSU rRNA
Rfam family: Bacterial large subunit ribosomal RNA
Source: RNAcentral
CUACACGACCGUACCGCAAACCGACACUGGUGCGCGAGAUGAGUAUUCUAAGGCGCUUGAGAGAACUCAGGAGAAGGAACUCGGCAAAUUGACACCGUAACUUCGGAAGAAGGUGUGCCUUUAGUAGGUGAACCUGUACAAGGGGAGCCCAAUGAGGUUGCAAAAAAUCGGUGGCUGCGACUGUUUAAUAAAAACACAGCACUCUGCAAACACGAAAGUGGACGUAUAGGGUGUGACGCCUGCCCGGUGCUGGAAGAUUAAAUGAUGGGGUGCAAGCUCUUGAUUGAAGUCCCAGUAAACGGCGGCCGUAACUAUAACGGUCCUAAGGUAGCGAAAUUCCUUGUCGGGUAAGUUCCGACCUGCACGAGUGGCGUAACGAUGGCCACACUGUCUCCUCCUGAGACUCAGCGAAGUUGAAAUGUUUGUGAUGAUGCAAUCUCCCCGCGGAAAGACGGAAAGACCCCAUGAACCUUUACUGUAGCUUUGUAUUGGACUUUGAACAGAUCUGUGUAGGAUAGGUGGGAGGCUUUGAAGUGUGGUCGCUAGAUCGCAUGGAGCCAACGUUGAAAUACCACCCUGGUGUGUUUGAGGUUCUAACCUAGGCCCGUAAUCCGGGUCGGGGACAGUGCAUGGUAGGCAGUUUGACUGGGGCGGUCUCCUCCCAAAGCGUAACGGAGGAGUUCGAAGGUACGCUAGGUACGGUCGGACAUCGUGCUAAUAGUGCAAUGGCAUAAGCGUGCUUAACUGCGAGACUGACAAGUCGAGCAGAUGCGAAAGCAGGACAUAGUGAUCCGGUGGUUCUGUAUGGAAGGGCCAUCGCUCAACGGAUAAAAGGUACUCUGGGGAUAACAGGCUGAUACCGCCCAAGAGUUCAUAUCGACGGCGGUGUUUGGCACCUCGAUGUCGGCUCAUCUCAUCCUGGGGCUGUAGCCGGUCCCAAGGGUAUGGCUGUUCGCCAUUUAAAGAGGUACGUGAGCUGGGUUUAAAACGUCGUGAGACAGUUUGGUCCCUAUCUUCCGUGGGCGCUGCAGAUUUGAGGAAGCCUGCUCCUAGUACGAGAGGACCGGAGUGGACACACCUCUGGUGUAUCGGUUGUCACGCCAGUGGCAUUGCCGAGUAGCUAUGUGUGGAAGAGAUAACCGCUGAAAGCAUCUAAGCGGGAAACUCGUUUCAAGAUGAGAUCUGCCGGGGCCUUGAGCCCCCUAAAGAGUCGUUCAAGACCAGGACGUUGAUAGGUCGGGUGUGGAAGCGCAGUAAUGCGUUAAGCUAACCGAUACUAAUUGCUCGUGCGGCUUGACCU